CUACGGGCGGCAGCAGUGGGGAAUAUUGGGCAAUGGGCGAAAGCCUGACCCAGCAACGCCGCGUGAAGGAAGAAGGCUUUCGGGUCGUAAACUUCUAUCCCAGAUGAAGAUAAUGACGGUAAUCUGGAAGGAAGCCCCGGCUAACUACGUGCCAGCAGCCGCGGUAAUACGUAGGGGGCAAGCGUUGUCCGGAAUGAUUGGGCGUAAAGGGCGCGUAGGCGGCCUUUUAAGUCCGAUGUGAAAGUCCUGCUUUUAAGGUGGGAAUUGCAUUGGAAACUGGAAGGCUUGAGUGCAGGAGAGGUAAGUGGAAUUCCCGGUGUAGCGGUGAAAUGCGUAGAGAUCGGGAGGAACACCAGUGGCGAAGGCGACUUACUGGACUGUAACUGACGCUGAGGCGCGAAAGUGUGGGGAGCAAACAGGAUUAGAUACCCGAGUAGUC
RNAcentral lists this ribosomal RNA (439 nucleotides) under uncultured bacterium. RNAcentral's name for it is "partial 16S ribosomal RNA". It matches the Rfam family "Bacterial small subunit ribosomal RNA", at positions 339 to 795 of the family's 1533-position model. The record is from RNAcentral.